AGGACGAACGCUGGCGGCAUGCCUAAUACAUGCAAGUCGAGCGGAAUGAAGAGAGCUUGCUCUCUGAUUUUAGCGGCGGACGGGUGAGUAACACGUGGGCAACCUGCCCUACAGAUGGGGAUAACUCCGGGAAACCGGGGCUAAUACCGAAUAAUCAGUUUGUCCGCAUGGACAAACUCUGAAAGACGGUUUCGGCUGUCACUGUAGGAUGGGCCCGCGGCGCAUUAGCUAGUUGGUGGGUAAUGGCCUACCAAGGCAACGAUGCGUA
This 268-nucleotide ribosomal RNA is filed under the name uncultured bacterium. RNAcentral describes it as "partial small subunit ribosomal RNA". It matches the Rfam family "Bacterial small subunit ribosomal RNA", at positions 26 to 285 of the family's 1533-position model. The record is from RNAcentral.